This 253-nucleotide ribosomal RNA is filed under the name uncultured bacterium. Its description in RNAcentral is "partial 16S ribosomal RNA". It matches the Rfam family "Bacterial small subunit ribosomal RNA", at positions 524 to 776 of the family's 1533-position model. The record is from RNAcentral.
UACGGGGGGGGCAAGCGUUGUUCGGAAUUACUGGGCGUAAAGGGUUCGUAGGCGGCCAACUAAGUCAGACGUGAAAUCCCUCGGCUUAACCGGGGAACUGCGUCUGAUACUGGAUGGCUGGAGUUUGGGAGAGGGAUGCGGAAUUCCAGGUGUAGCGGUGAAAUGCGUAGAUAUCUGGAGGAACACCGGUGGCGAAGGCGGCAUCCUGGACCAAUACUGACGCUGAGGAGCGAAAGCCAGGGGAGCAAACGGG